RNAcentral lists this ribosomal RNA (439 nucleotides) under uncultured bacterium. RNAcentral describes it as "partial 16S ribosomal RNA". It matches the Rfam family "Bacterial small subunit ribosomal RNA", at positions 339 to 795 of the family's 1533-position model. The record is from RNAcentral.
CUACGGGGGGCAGCAGUGAGGAAUAUUGCACAAUGGGGGGAACCCUGAUGCAGCAACGCCGCGUGGAGGAUGACGCAUUUCGGUGUGUAAACUCCUUUUAUAUGUCAAGAAAAUGACGGUAGCAUAUGAAUAAGCACCAGCUAACUCCGUGCCAGCAGCCGCGGUAAUACGGAGGGUGCAAGCGUUAGUCGGAAUCACUGGGCGUAAAGGACGCGUAGGCGGGUUGGAAAGUCAGGUGUGAAAUCCUACAGCUUAACUGUAGAACUGCACUUGAAACUUCUAAUCUAGAGUAUGGGAGGGGGAGAUGGAAUUAGUGGUGUAGGAGUAAAAUCCGUAGAUAUCACUAGGAAUACCUAAAGCGAAGGCGAUCUCCUGGAACAUUACUGACGCUAAGGCGUGAAAGCGUGGGGAGCAAACAGGAUUAGAUACCCGGGUAGUC